Ochotona curzoniae (black-lipped pika) is the source of this 154-nucleotide long non-coding RNA. RefSeq lists it as uncharacterized. Lineage: Eukaryota; Metazoa; Chordata; Mammalia; Lagomorpha; Ochotonidae. The transcript has 3 exons. The record is from RefSeq and is a predicted model, not a curated record.
GAGUCUCCAUCUGGAAAGCAGAGGAAGUGAUGCUUAACACAGGCACAGGGGAGGUAUCAGUCGGUGAGCAAGCGUUUCUUGGGCCCCUACCAGGUGCUUAGCCCUGUGCCUCAAGCCAUCCUAUGAAAGAGCAGAGCUGUGGUGCAGGCCCAGG